CCAUGGGUUUAGGCGUGUUUAGGGUUUAAGGCAGUACCACUCCAACAAAGAGCACUUGCAAGCUCUGUUGCCUGUUUUUUCCAGAGAAGAGAAAAAGAUGGGUGCUGACAAAGGGAAGAAGCAAAAAGUAGAUGAAGAGAACAACACCAUUGAUGGUGAGCUUGUUUUUUCCAUUGAAAAAUUGCAAGAAAUACAAGACGAGCUUGAGAAGAUCAAUGAGGAAGCAAGUGAUAAAGUAUUGGAAGUGGAACAGAAGUACAAUGAGAUCCGCAAGCCUGUCUAUGAUAAACGAAACGACAUCAUUAAAGCUAUCCCGGACUUCUGGUUGACUGCUUUUUUGAGUCAUCCUGUCCUAGGUGAACUUCUAGCUGAAGAAGACCAAAAGAUCUUCAAGUUUCUAAGUUCAAUUGAAGUUGAAGACUCUAAAGAUGUGAAGUCGGGCUACUCGAUAACCUUUAACUUCAAUGCGAAUCCUUAUUUUGAAAAUACAAAGCUCUCAAAGACCUAUACCUUCCUUGAAGAUGGACCCACAAAGAUUUCUGCUACAACAAUAAAAUGGAAAGAAGGCAUGGGCAUUCCUAAUGGAGUUGCACAUGAGAAGAAAGGAAACAAGCGAUCUCAUGCUGAGGAAAGCUUCUUUACAUGGUUCAGUGAAGUCAAUCAAAAAGAUGAGGAUGAGGAUGAGGCUCUAGAGAUUCAGGAUGAGGUCGCUGACAUAAUUAAGGAUGACUUGUGGCCGAACCCGCUCACCUAUUUUAACAAUGAGCCUGAUGAAGAAGAUUUUGAUGGUGACGAGCUUCAUAAUAAGGUACUUCCCAAGGUCAAAGAUCGUAAGUAAUAAAGGUUCAUUGAGGGUGGAAGAAGACUCUGGAGUUGAGUGGAGCUUGAGGGAAAGGACAGUGAAGGCUCUGAAGACGAAGAGGAAGAAGAGGAGGAGGAUGAGGAUGGUGAUGAAGAAUGAAGGCAGAUAAUCGCCUCGUACUUUGGGAUCUCGUCUUCAAUGGUUUUAAUCAUCAGGGUUUAAUGUCUGUAAAGAGGCUUUGAGUGUUGCCAAAGAACAGAAUAACUGUGGUGACUAUACCUUUUCUCUUCUUGUAUGGUUUUAACUUAUAAGCAAAAUAUCCAAUUCCGGAGGUUCAAAAAUGUUAUUUCAUUA
Non-coding RNA from Nicotiana tabacum (common tobacco), 1156 nucleotides. Lineage: Eukaryota; Viridiplantae; Streptophyta; Magnoliopsida; Solanales; Solanaceae. The record is from RefSeq and is a predicted model, not a curated record.